CGAAUCUCUCCAGUCGCAUGGACCACCGCUCCAAGCCAAGCCAUGGUAGCCACAAGAAGGAGGAUUACAGCCUGGCCUUCAGGUUUAGCGCCGUCGCUGCAGGUGCAAGGCUCGACCGCCGAUGCUGCGGCUAACCCGUCGCGGCCGGCUGGGCGACCGCGCGAGCUGCGCUGCGGAGCCUGCCGAUGUUGCGGCGACUUGUCGCAUCCGGCGACGGCGACCGCGCGAGUUGCGACGCGGCGGAAGGCAUCCCAAUGGCAGUGCUGGAACCGGCUUCCAGUUUUGCUACAACCGGCGAGGCGAAUGCGGCGGCCACGGCGUGCUGCAUCCGGCGGCGCAAGAUGCUGGGACCGGCUGCGAGGAAUGCUACAACCAUGGCUUGGAGAUGCUGGAACCGAGACUCGCCGUGUUGCGAUCGGCCGACCGGCGACGGCGAGCGUCGACGGCGAGCAACGGGGGAGGCUGGCCUUGCCACCUGCAUGAGGGAGAGAACACACGACAUGAUGAGAGAGUGGGCGGCCGCCAUGGAUUCGUUUUCUAUGAUCUUUAACAUGCCGACGCGAGGGUGUGAAGAAGACGAUGGAAAGAUGCCAUCCAACGGCUACGCGUGGGCCUAUCCAAGGGUUGCGCGUCGACCGGCCGAAUUUGGGCCGGUCGACCGGCGCCUAUCACUGCCCUUUAAAGAAUAAGCAAGACAUGGAGUAGGACGUUUAUCCAUCUUGAGUGCGUGGACCUGGGUAUAUUGUGUCUUUAUUUUUUGUAUUCUAGACCCAUGGUAUUCGGACGCGACGUCCCCUCGACUAGAAAUUCCAUGUACUCCCUCUAGUAGUACUGUUACGUAUGACAAAAAAUCACUUGACAUUUAUCA
Molecule: non-coding RNA, 868 nt
Organism: Aegilops tauschii subsp. strangulata
Lineage: Eukaryota; Viridiplantae; Streptophyta; Magnoliopsida; Poales; Poaceae
Source: RefSeq, a predicted model, not a curated record